RNAcentral lists this ribosomal RNA (465 nucleotides) under Vreelandella stevensii. Its description in RNAcentral is "partial 16S ribosomal RNA". It matches the Rfam family "Bacterial small subunit ribosomal RNA", at positions 338 to 795 of the family's 1533-position model. The record is from RNAcentral. Lineage: Bacteria; Pseudomonadati; Pseudomonadota; Gammaproteobacteria; Oceanospirillales; Halomonadaceae.
CCUACGGGUGGCAGCAGUGGGGAAUAUUGGACAAUGGGCGAAAGCCUGAUCCAGCCAUGCCGCGUGUGUGAAGAAGGCCUUCGGGUUGUAAAGCACUUUCAGUGGGGAAGAAAGCCUUGGGGCUAAUACCCUCGAGGAAGGACAUCACCCACAGAAGAAGCACCGGCUAACUCCGUGCCAGCAGCCGCGGUAAUACGGAGGGUGCGAGCGUUAAUCGGAAUUACUGGGCGUAAAGCGCGCGUAGGCGGUCUGAUAAGCCGGUUGUGAAAGCCCCGGGCUCAACCUGGGAACGGCAUCCGGAACUGUCAGGCUAGAGUGCAGGAGAGGAAGGUAGAAUUCCCGGUAUAGCGGUGAAAUGCGUAGAGAUCGGGAGGAAUACCAGUGGCGAAGGCGGCCUUCUGGACUGACACUGACGCUGAGGUGCGAAAGCGUGGGUAGCAAACAGGAUUAGAUACCCGUGUAGUC